AUUUAUAUAGUUUAUAUAAAACAUUACAUUUUCAUUGUAAAAAUAAAAAUAAAUGAAAUUUUUUAUAAAUA
Molecule: transfer RNA, 71 nt
Filed under: Abaratha angulata
Lineage: Eukaryota; Metazoa; Arthropoda; Insecta; Lepidoptera; Hesperiidae
Description: Odontoptilum angulatum tRNA-Glu
Source: RNAcentral